AAUAAUGGACAAUGGGCGAAAGCCUGAUCCAGCCUUGCCGCGUGUGUGAAGAAGGACUUCUGAUUGUAAAGCACGUUAAGUUGGGAGGAAGGGUUGUAGGUUAAUACCCUGCAAUUUUGACGUUACCAGCAGAAUAAGCACCGGCUAACUGCGUGCAAGUAGCCGCGCUAAUACGAAGGGUGCAAGCGUUAAUCGGAAUUACUGGGCGUAAAGCGCGCGUAGGUGGUUCGGUAAGUUGGAAGUGAAAGCCCCGGGCUUAACCUGGGAAUUGCUUUCAAAACUGACGAGCUAGAGUACGGUAGAGGGUAGUGGAAUUUCCUGUGUAGCGGUGAAAUGCGUAGAUAUAGGAAGGAACAUCAGUGGCGAAGGCGACUACCUGGACUGAUACUGACACUGAGGUGCGAAAGCGUGGGGAGCAAACAGG
RNAcentral lists this ribosomal RNA (424 nucleotides) under uncultured bacterium. RNAcentral describes it as "partial 16S ribosomal RNA". It matches the Rfam family "Bacterial small subunit ribosomal RNA", at positions 360 to 776 of the family's 1533-position model. The record is from RNAcentral.